CGGGCGCGACGGACGAUCGCCGGCGACCUCGAUAUCCCUCGGCCGAAAGGUCCGGGGCGAUCGAGCCUCGCGGGAGGAAAGUCCGAGCUCCACAGAGUACGAUGCCGGGUAACGCCCGGUGGCGGAGACGCCAAGGAGAGUGCAACAGAGAAGAGACCGCCCGCGCGCACGCAAGUGCCCGUAGGUAAGGGUGAAACGGCGGGGUAAGAGCCCACCGCGAGCACGGCAACGCGCUCGGCAUGGCAGACCCCAUCGGGAGCAAGGCCGCAUAGGCGGGCAUUCGUGUGGCGCGAGCCUCACGAUAAGGGUGACUCGCCCGAGCCCGUGGGUAGGCUGCUCGAGCCGGCCGGCAACGGUCGGCCUAGAAGAAUGAUCGUCACCCGGGUCGGGGCGACCUGACUCGGGAACAGAACUCGGCUUACGUCGAACCCGAACC
Molecule: RNase P RNA, 436 nt
Filed under: Myxococcales bacterium
Lineage: Bacteria; Pseudomonadati; Myxococcota; Myxococcia; Myxococcales
Description: RNase P RNA component class A
Rfam family: Bacterial RNase P class A
About the family: Ribonuclease P (RNase P) is a ubiquitous endoribonuclease, found in archaea, bacteria and eukarya as well as chloroplasts and mitochondria. Its best characterised activity is the generation of mature 5'-ends of tRNAs by cleaving the 5'-leader elements of precursor-tRNAs.
Source: RNAcentral